This 669-nucleotide ribosomal RNA is filed under the name Anopheles longirostris. Its description in RNAcentral is "eukaryotic LSU rRNA". The stretch from base 578 to 669 matches the Rfam family "Eukaryotic large subunit ribosomal RNA", at positions 1 to 92 of the family's 3401-position model. Lineage: Eukaryota; Metazoa; Arthropoda; Insecta; Diptera; Culicidae. The record is from RNAcentral.
ACCGCAGCUAAAUGCGCGUCAGAAUGUGAACUGCAGGACACAUGAACACCGACACGUUGAACGCAUAUGGCGCAUCGGCUCGCCUCAAAACGACCGAUGCACACAUCCUUGAGUGUCUACUUAUUUGUUGACCAACCCAACCGGGCCCCGUUAGCGCGGGGUCCGUCAUUCGACUACAACAUGCCGCGCGGGUCACACCAGACCGAGGCGGACGUUGUGCAUAACGGCGUGCUGGGCGCGGCUUCGCGCAGCCCCAGGGCGUUGAUCCGGGUGAGUUGGAUUCGAGCGGGCGGCCAUCGUCACUGGCCUGCACGCGCUUGACGCGCGUGGUACCCCUGGUCGUUAGAUGUUGCGCUCGUAGCCUUCCCUAGGUUGACUACAAAGGUGCCAGAUGCUUCCGACCAGACCGACCGGGUACCCGUCAGUCCGCGUCUUGCGGUCGGUGCCUACAAGGUUGCUCACACACCCUCACCGGGUGUGCGACACACAGUGUACACGUACGCGCCCCCAGCCCUCGAGCCACAUCCACUCACUCCGCGGUGUAUGCGCCUGCAUGCCCGCACCACUCACAACAUGUAGACCUCAGGUGAUGUGUGGUAACCCCCGGAAUUUAAGCAUAUUAAUAAGGGGAGGAAGAGAAACCAACCGGGAUUCCCUGAGUAGCUGCAA